RNAcentral lists this ribosomal RNA (301 nucleotides) under uncultured bacterium. RNAcentral's name for it is "partial 16S ribosomal RNA". It matches the Rfam family "Bacterial small subunit ribosomal RNA", at positions 509 to 807 of the family's 1533-position model. The record is from RNAcentral.
CAGUAGCCGCGGGAAUACGUAGGUGGCAAGCGUUGUCCGGAAUUAUUGGGCGUAAAGGGCUCGCAGGCGGUUUCUUAAGUCUGAUGUGAAAGCCCCCGGCUCAACUGGGGAGGGUCAUUGGAAACUGGGAAACUUGAGUGCAGAAGAGGAGAGUGGAAUUCCACGUGUAGCGGUGAAAUGCGUAGAGAUGUGGAGGAACACCAGUGGCGAAGGCGACUCUCUGGUCUGUAACUGACGCUGAGGAGCGAAAGCGUGGGGAGCGAACAGGAUUAGAUACCCCCGUAGUCCCUGUCUCUUAUAC